Molecule: RNA transcript, 7302 nt
Organism: Eriocheir sinensis (Chinese mitten crab)
Lineage: Eukaryota; Metazoa; Arthropoda; Malacostraca; Decapoda; Varunidae
Gene name: protein VAC14 homolog
Exons: 18
Source: RefSeq, a predicted model, not a curated record
GCACUAGCCGCGGACGGCCGCCAAGUCGUUCCGGCAGCCGUGAUCGAGGGUUCGGACGCCGGGGGUAAACAGUUGUCAGCUGACUCGAGGUGGAAACACACCCCUGAGACGCCGCCCGUAAGACCCGUGCUUGUGGCCAGCGAGAAGGGGCCACGGCAGUCCAGCGGGGUAUGCAGUGCCGAGCACAGACCCAGACAGCCGAGCAACAUGAGUGACCGUGACUACAGCCCCCUGAGCGCCGCAUGUGUGCGGGCCCUCAGCGACAAACUGUAUGACAAGCGGAAGGCAGCGGCCCUGGAGAUCGAGAAGAUGGUGAAGGACUUCAUAAUCAGCAGCAAGCCAGACCAGAUAGCCAAGCUGAUCAGAGUGUUGGAGGAGUUUGCUAUGUCUCACAACCCCCACACCAGAAAGGGAGGCCUCAUAGGGUUGGCAGCGGUUGCCAUUGGUCUUGGCACAAAGAAUAUCGCACCAUUCAUACGUGAGCUGGUUAGUCCUAUUCUGGCUUGCUUCACGGACAGCAACCCCAAUGUACGGUACUAUGCCACAGAAUCCCUCUAUAAUGUGGUCAGGGUCUCCCGAGGCACCGUUCUGUCACAGUUCAAUGACAUUUUCACCAUCCUUGUUCGGCUGGCCACGGAUGCAGACCAGAACGUAAAAAAUGGUUCUGAAAUGCUUGACCGGAUCAUGAAGGACAUCGUCACCGAGAGCAACUCCUUUGACAUGAUAUCCUUUAUCCCGGUCCUGCGCGAGAAACUCUAUGCCAACAACCACUGGGCACAAACGCUGGUGGUCUCCUGGGUGUCUGUCCUCCACACUGUGCCUGAAGUGGACACGCUGUCCUUCCUCUCCGACAUACUAGAGGGUCUCUUCUUCAUCAUGGAGGGUCCAAAGCCAGAGGUCAAAAAAAUGUGUGAGGCAGUUGUUGGAGAGUUUCUUGCAAGCAUAAAGAAAGCACCUGAAAAGGUUAAGUUUGCUGACAUGAUUAACAUCGUUAUCACCCAUGCACAGUCAAAUGAUCCAGUGGUGCAGAUGAUCUCACUUACUUGGAUUCAUGAGUUUGUGAGGCUGUCGGGGCGUGUUAUGCUGCCCCAUCUGGCGGGCAUCCUGACGGCCAUCCUGCCUUGCCUGGCCCUGGAUGACCCCACCUAUGCCAGGGAACAACAGGAAAGUAACCCAGACAAUGAUGCUGCAGCAGCUGAAAAUAAAAUCAAGCAGGCAAAGCUAAAGACCCGGGGCCUGGCCAAGGAGGUGAACAUCAACCUCAUGCGACUCAUUACUGUAGAGGACGACAGGGACACCCCUGAUGGAGCAGCUGGUGAUGACCAGUACCUCCCACAGGUGCCUCACACUCCACAGAUGUCCAUUGUUCCUGGCACCUCUGCCUCCAGCCCUCUGACUGCUUCCUCAGCCAAUGUUCUUCCCACAGAGCCACCCGAGGAUGUUCAUGAGGGAGAGCUAAAGCUGGGCUCUGUGAUGGAGGUGCUGCACAUACAGCUGCGCAACACUCCUGUGCCCUGCAAGACUGCUGUGUUGCGAUGGAUCUACCACCUUCACAACAAAAUCCCAAACAAGAUGUUCCGUUACCUGGAGGAACUCUUCCCUGUCUUGCUCCGAACCCUGUCAGACCCUUCAGACGAAGUGGUGCUGUUGGUUAUUGAGGUGUUGGCCCAGAUCGCAUCUACAACCAACCACAGCCCUGUGGCAGGCCCUGUGGCAGAGCCUAUCACCAGCGCCUCCACAUCCCCGGGAGUCUCCUCCGCCUCCUCUGCCCCACAAGGUGGUGACGAGACUAAGACUAAUGUGAACGAGUACUUCACUAGAUUCCUGCAGAACCUCCUUCACCUCUUCACUACAGAGAGGAAUCUGUUGGAAGAUAGGGGACCACUGAUCAUCAGGCAGCUUUGUGUAAUGCUGAGUGCAGAGGACAUCUACCGUACCCUUGCAGAGCUCCUGCAGGAUGGGGAUGAUCUCAUUUUUGCCUCUAAAAUGGUUCAGACACUCUCCUCCAUCCUGCUCACCUCAAAGGAACUCUUUUUGCUGAGGAGGCAGCUCAAGGAUCUCUCAUCUCCUGAGAGUUGUGAGCUGUUUGUGAAACUGUACCGGUCGUGGAGCCACAACCCAGUGGCCACCCUCACGCUGUGCCUCCUCACACAGAACUACACCCACGCUGCCACACUGGUCCAUGUCUUCGGUGACAUUGAGGUGACGGCAGACUUCCUGGUUGAGGUGGACAAGUUGGUGCAGCUUUUGGAAUCUCCAAUCUUUACUUACCUUCGCCUCCAGCUGCUUGACCCCAAGAGGCACUCUGCUUUGGUUGAGGCACUCUAUGGCCUACUCAUGUUGUUGCCCCAGACAAAGGCCUUCACCUUGCUACAUGAUCGGCUCAACUGUUUACCGCCAGCCCACCUGCUUCAAGACACUUGUUCAAGGGAACUGCCACGUGACCUCUCCAGAAACAUAGACUUUGAGGAGCUGUUGGCUUAUUUCAACAAUAUCCAGGAGAAGCACCGUGCCUACAAACACCAGAAGAUAAAGCAGCAGCUCCAGUCCAACGUGGAUCCAGUCACCCACCCGUAAGACCCGUCCACUCUGCAACACCAAGCCACACUUUGAAUACACAGUUAAAUCCUCUUAGGCUACCCAUAACCCACCACUCUUCCUGCUGCACUUAAAACAUUCACUGUUACUUUGCCACGUUUCCUCUUAACUGUCUGUCACACAAGGCUCAAGGAUUUCUCAUUCAAUUGCCAUUAUUUUAUUCAUCCAUUCAUUCAUCCUACACAAAUGCAUGGAUUCUAACAACACCACAGAGACAUUUAUCCUUUUAGCCUGAUAAGAAAGGCGAUUGAUUUUAAUGUUAAUGGAAUAAGGGUGUCUUAACUAUUUUUGAAAUGUACAGAUUUUUAAAAAAAUGUCAGUUUGGGUAUAAAAAGUGUUGGUACAACACAUCCUUUUAGCAUCAUCAAUAGAUGGUUUCAAGCCUUUGGUGUAGAAAGUGACCCAAAGUGGAUCGCACAUGAUCUAAAGGUUGGUGUAUGGCAAUUGAGAUCUGGCAGUUUGCCUUGCAGUUCAUUCAUUAAUACUCCGCUCCACCAAACAGCCCAAAUCUCCCAUAUUGGCCCUAGUGAUUUCUUUGUAUCAGUUGUGAACCAUGACAGGUGUUUUUGGAAGCUGUAGUGGAUGGGGGGAUCACCAGUCCCCUGGUGCACUACUUCAUUAAAACUGGCAAACUGGAGCAGGUCUCCUAGUAUGGCGAAGGCUUUUGUUGGGGCAGCUCGGUUGUCAUUGCUGUUUUGAAUGCAUUUUUUAAUUAAUCUUAUUCUCUCAAAGAAGUAUGGCAACUAAUAGCCACUUCUGUCAGUCUUUCAUGUACAAUACUAUUAAGUUGGUCAUGGAUCUAAAUGAUGUUAUUGAAGGAUUAAGUUGAUACUUUGACCUCAUUUCAUGUCUUCUGGCCAUGAAAUUUCAUUUGGCUUGGGAAGCUUUGGUCAUAGUAGAAACAAGUCUCACAGUGAAAUACCAAUGAUAGUAGGGAUGGUGGUAGUGAUAGCGUUAAAUGGUAUAUAUUGGUGGUGCUAAAGCUACCACCACUACCUUCCCUCUGCCACUUUGUAUUAGAUUACCAUAUGCAACAGGCUUCUAUGAGCUUUUGUAAAGCAAGAUUUUUGUACUUACUGGCUCAUUAAUGUGUAGAUAUCAAUUUUUUUAUGGCAAAACCAGAAAUGAUCCGUCUAUGCACUCCUGCUUUUCGCUGUGGGUGUGGUAAUCAUUAGGCUUAGUGAUCAAAUAUUACUGAUUAUGGUUUGAAGCCACUUUGACCUGGUACUCUUGAUUGGUUUGCUCUUCUGCUGGCUGCCUGAAGGACAAAUUAUGGUCAUGCGUGUAGUCUCAAAUGUAUUAUUGCACGAGUGGUUUUAUAGUUGAAUGAAAAUAGGUCUCCGGUAACUUUGAAGGUAGUGUUAAUUCCUGAUAUGAAGAUAAGUAUUGAAAAUAUAUAACUGAAAUUUAUUUUAGUAUGACAUUUGUAAAUGUAAGCGACUUUGCUGGACAAGGAAACCGUUGCAACAAGAACUUGAUGGGGGAAGAAUCUGAGUAUUUUUGCUUAUGUAGAAUUGGAAAAUCUGUUAGCCAAGUAAUGAUAUUAAAUUGGCAGAAUCUGAUGUUAUUUCUUGUAGAGUUUGAGUUUUAUGAUGUGGAGGGUGAUGGUAUGGAUCUAGUUAGCAGAAUUUGUUACUUUGUGUAAAGUUAGUUUAUACUCUGAUUUGCAAGGUAAUUUUGUGAAGAAAACUUGCAUUACAUGUCAGGCUUUCCAGGCUUCUAGGCACACCACCCUGUGCUGUGCCAAUACAAGCAUCUUUGAGUAAUUGUAUAGUCACUAUGGCUCUUUCCUUUCCCUCUUAUGGUAUUCACCUUAAUAAAGUAGUAAGCUAAAUAUCAUGACAAAGGAGAUCAGGGUAAAGUAACUACAAUUAACUACAGGUGCAUGUGUGUAUACUUAUAGAAAAAUGGCCAAUGAUGGCAGAGAUUGUGUUCAUCUGGCACCACUUGCUGAAACAUUCCUUGACAGUUUUCUCCUUUUGUCCUCUAGCGUAACCUUCCCUAAUUUGCUUUGAUCCAUUUUAUGAAGGUUAUUCUUAAUAUUCUUUGUCUUUUAGUCUUAUAUUUUUUUAUUCAUAGCUAUUUAUUCAUGUGUCUUCAGAGUGAGCUUCAAGCCCUUGUUCUUCUCUACCUCAAGGAACCUAUUAAUGGAAGUAAAUUGUUUUGAAUUGUAUUUCUUUUACUAUAAGUUGUUAUAAUUAAAUCCAAAGAUGCCCUAAUUGUUAGCAUAGUAUAUAAGCUAUUUAUGAUGCAUGAAAGAUUUCAAAGUGUAAUGUCUCAAGAAUUUCUUGAUUCAAGAAUGUACAAUUAUAUACUCUAAGGAAAAACUGGAAGGUAAAUCUUAAUGCAUUGAUGAAUUGUAAAUGCUCUGGAGACUAUAGAUACAUGAAUUUGGUUGAUCUGUUUAAUGUGGCUGACACAUGUAAUUGUCAGUAUUUUGCUAGAAUUUUUCCUUUAGGGCAUUAGGUUUGACCUUGUUAACUAGGCAGGUGACGUUUUGUGAUAGCCAAGCAGGUAAUUUUUGAAGCCACGGUCAAGUACUCCUGCCAACUGCCUCUGUGUGACUGUUGUUGAUGUGCCUCCAGCCUUAGUUUUUUUUCCAGUAUUUACAUUCUUUUCUGUAUGAAGAAGUGAGACUUUUAUAUAUUUACCUAAUGCACCCUAGAAUAAAGAAACUUCAUUUUUAAUCUUUCAUCAUGUCAAUCCCUCCAGUUCUGGAACCAUUUUCGUUGCCAUCCUUUGUAUUUUCUAGUUUUUUUGUGUUAUGUGGAGACCACACCGCCUCUGCAUAUUCCAAUUUUGGCCUAAUCAUAGUGGUUAUUAACUUUUUCAUCAUAUCCUUGUUCAUGUAGUGGAAUGCUAAUCCUUUAUUUCUCACCAUAUUAUACGUAUCACCGAAUAUCCGAUUAACAUGACUCUUGUAUUGUUACUCCCAGAUCUCUCUCUUCGAGAACUUUCUUUAAUAUUUCUCUAUCUCCCAUUUUAUAUGUCCAUUUUUUUUUUCGUUGUGUGUGUGUGUGUGUGUGUGUGUGUGUGCAGUACUAAUACUAAUACUAAUAAUAUACGGUUUAUUUAGGGAUGAGCAGCUCGUGAGCUGAAAAUAUACAUAUAUAUGGAGAUCAUUAAAAUUACAAACUGUGUGUGUGUGUGUGUGUGUGUCGCUAAGGGAGAUAAACGAAAGGAAAUCCUGUAGUCCUGCGACGCACGCAAGCACUCACACGAGACCCGAGCCACGAAGCGGAUCAUCGCCACCUCGCUCCUGCUCAGCCGUCGUCCUGGUGGCCCUUGAAACUGCCCCGGUAACACAUCGACGCCAAAUAUAAUAUAGGUGAAUACUGGUGAUUACAGUAAGGCGUGUCAGCUGCCCGGCCCCUUGCGCAGUGCUGGGGUGCAAAGUCAGGAUCCACGGCAUCAGGAGGAGCUAGCUUCUGUGACUCAAGAAGGGAGCGGCACAUCCGCCCGGCUUCUUUCUCCGCCAAGCCUUCACGUCGGCCAAUUAUCUUCAAAUCACGCCCCACCCGCCCUCAAUCCAAAGCCUUACAAUCAUGGAGGCACAAUCUUGCAACAACCAUGGUGCUGAUACCCAAGCCCAGCAGUCCCUGAUGUUGUGGUUGACGGUGGCGGUGGCAGGGGUGGGGGCGGUGCUCAUGCUGGUGCUGGUGGCGAUGCUGAUGAGGAUGAAGAGGCUGGUGAAACAGGUGAAGGGAGGAAUACUCAACGAAGAAGACCACAUCUACGAUGAGAUAGAAAUCAAGCCGAGGAGAGUGGACGCUCCGGCAGGCAAAGGCAUAUACUCUGGAAUAUACGAGGACGGCUACAUGGUCCCGAAAAUCAGUCCCUUCGGCAAAUCAAACAAGAUCACGAUGGGGUAGGGAUGAAGCCACCAACCGUUCCCUCCCCCGUCGGACUGUGACCACGGCCACACUAUUAUGGGUCAAGGAAGGACAAGGCAAGUUGAAUGUUACACAGAACCGGAAUCCAACCAUUGCGUUGAUGCCGUUAUCCGCCUCGCAUUGAUUUUAUUUCACACCGGUAACAUUAUAAUUAGCCUAAUAUUAUUAUCAUUGUAUUGGUAUUGGUAUUAUUUGCAUCAGUAUUAUAUAUAUAUAUAUAUAUAUAUAUAUAUAUAUAUAUAUAUAUAUAUAUAUAUAUAUAUAUAUAUAUAUAUAUAUAUAUAUAUAUAUAUAUAUAUAUAUAUAUAUAUAUAUAUAUAUAUAUAUAUAUAUAUAUAUAUAUAUAUAUAUUAUCCAGCGGCGUGGCUACGGGGAGGAGGGUUGAGUUACUGUCCCCGGAUAAAAGUUGGACACCAGAUGAGCCCCAUUUGAAAAUCUGAGAGAAUGAAAAUGCACUCCAACAUAAAGAAUAAUUAAAGUAUCUGAGCAACGGGCCUCUCCACUAACCCUCCCCCCCUCACGGGCCCUCUUGUGCGGCCCUUCGCUGCGCCGCGGCGGGUGCGAGGGCGCCGACAGAGCGCAGGAAGCGAUAACAGACAGGAAGCGUGUGUAGCGGGAAAACAAACGUUUUAGUAUUUGUAGCUUACUGAGGCGCAGAUGAACAAAAUAAUAAAAGCAUUUGUAUUUAAGACUUGAAAUUUCCAGGACAAGUUUGGACGAUGAUUCCUUUCACUGUGAAUGCAUAUGUUGAUGCAUGGCCUCAUUAUCUCAUGACAUCAUGCGGAUAACAUUAAAGUAAUGCCCUAAUUAA